This is a non-coding RNA of Pelobates cultripes (western spadefoot toad), 270 nucleotides long. Lineage: Eukaryota; Metazoa; Chordata; Amphibia; Anura; Pelobatidae. The record is from the annotation of a GenBank genome assembly.
GAUGGGGUGACUAGUGACAGAGUGAGGAAGGGGGUGACUAGGGAGAGAGGGGGUGAUUAGUGACAGAGUUAGGGAGGGAGUAACUAGUGACAGAGAGAGGGAUGGGGUGACUAGUGACAGUCACCCCCCCCCUCACUCUGUCACCAGUCAUCCCCUCACUCUGUCACUAGUCACCCCUUCCCUCCCUCACUUUGCCACUAGUCAUCUCUUCCCUCCCUCACUCUGCCACUAGUCACCCAUUCCCUCACUCUGUCACUAGUCACCCCUAUC